RNAcentral lists this ribosomal RNA (425 nucleotides) under uncultured prokaryote. RNAcentral's name for it is "bacterial SSU rRNA". It matches the Rfam family "Bacterial small subunit ribosomal RNA", at positions 355 to 774 of the family's 1533-position model. The record is from RNAcentral.
UAACGAAUAUUGGGCAAUGGGCGAAAGCCUGACCCAGCAAUGCCGCGUGCAGGACGAAGUCCUUCGGGAUGUAAACUGCUGUCAGGGGUCCGCAAGCGAAGGGGUCCAACAGGCCCUGGAGUUGAGCAGCCCCAGAGGAAGCCUCGACUAACUCUGUGCCAGCAGUCGCGGUAAGACAGAGGAGGCAAGCGUUGUUCGGAAUCACUGGGCUUAAAGCGCGUGUAGGCGGCUUAGAAAGUGUCGUGUGAAAUCCCGCGGCUCAACCGCGGAACUGCACGGCAAACUACUUGGCUUGAGGUCGGUAGAGGUGCCUGGAAUUCUCGGUGUAGCAGUGAAAUGCGUAGAUAUCGAGAGGAACACCUGUGGCGAAGGCGAGUCCCUGGACAAUACCUGACGCUGAGGCACGAAAGCUAGGGGAGCAAACA